AUGCAAAGUAAGCAUGUGAGUGUUAAUUACCUGUCGCUUACCCGAAUUCGGAGCUCUCCAGGAGCGUUCGCAGAUCUUCCUCGCAGCGUGUCCGAUGCUGCCGCAUUCUACCUGGCCAAGGAGGGGAGCUCGACGGAGAAGGUCUUCUGGUCUCAGUAUGCUGAGGCCGAACAUCUGAUGCCCCUUAGCGACCAGCUGAAGCAGCUGGUCGAGCUCCACAAGGCGGCCGAACAAGCCAUGAAGGGCCUCAUAGUUCGGCUGUGGCCUAAGGAGGCUAUACCUGGGAGCUACUUCGGCCUGGUGCGGCGGCUGGUGGACGCGUGCCCGUGGUUUGAAGUUAUCAAGCACUCCACCUGUAUUGAGGGUGCGCGUCGGGCCCUUGCCCGCGCAAAGGUGCACUGGGGCAAGAUGGAUGCCCAGAAGCUUGUGACGGACCCCCCACCAGAGGGCAAGGAGCAUCGCACGCCCGAGAUGUAUUAUAGGAGUGUGCUGAAGGGCGCCCGCAUUAUUGCGGGUGAGUGCUCCAAAGAAGAAGUUUUUGAGUAG
This 546-nucleotide ribosomal RNA is filed under the name Triticum aestivum (bread wheat). Its description in RNAcentral is "partial small subunit ribosomal RNA". Lineage: Eukaryota; Viridiplantae; Streptophyta; Magnoliopsida; Poales; Poaceae. The record is from RNAcentral.